AGCUCCAAUAGCGUAUAUUAAAGUUGUUGCAGUUAAAAAGCUCGUAGUUGAAAUUCUGAUUGUUCGGGUUUUUAGCCUUUAGGCGGAAAUACCGACAGUCAUCCGCUUGCAAACAUACGUUUGACCUUAACCAGUUGACUAUGUGAGUAAGCAUUUUACCUUGAGAAAAACAGAGUGUUCCAGGCAGGUUUGUCCGGAAUGCAUUAGCAUGGAAUAAUAGAACAUGACUGAAGUCUAUUUAUUGGUUAAAGGCUUUAGUAAUGAUUAAUAGGAACAGUCGGGGGCAUUCGUACUCAGCAGUCAGAGGUGAAAUUCUAAGAUUUGCUGAAGACGAACUAAUGCGAAAGCAUUUGCCAAGGAUGUUUUCA
This 368-nucleotide ribosomal RNA is filed under the name uncultured eukaryote. RNAcentral's name for it is "SSU rRNA". It matches the Rfam family "Eukaryotic small subunit ribosomal RNA", at positions 587 to 972 of the family's 1831-position model. The record is from RNAcentral.